Long non-coding RNA from Gallus gallus (chicken), 2647 nucleotides. Lineage: Eukaryota; Metazoa; Chordata; Aves; Galliformes; Phasianidae. The record is from Ensembl.
UUCUGAUCAUCAAACCGUUUCUGACCAGAUCUGUUUCUGAUCAUUCUCCACACCUGGUCGCGAGCCCCACCUCUGGUUCACCAGCCAAACAGCAGAUUAAUAGAUUUCUUCCAGGCUCAUCACCCCUCUGGGGACUGUCUGUCUCCCAGCUGGAGGCUUGCUCCCUCGUUUAAGCACAUCUGGAAGAGUCAGUUUCCAAAUAAGGUCUGAGUGGCAGCCAAAACUUCAAAAGAUACAGAUACAAGGGUGAAAUCUUAGCCACUGAGUUGGCCAUCAGGAGAAAGUAACUUGAGUUUUUAGAACAAAUAGAGUAUGGGGAUCACUGCAACAUUGUCAAGCCUUUCUGACACUUCAUCAGAAAACACAAGCAUAGGAAAUUUGUGGUCAUAUUUCUCGGCCUCCCAGGUGCACUCUUUUAUGAACAGAUCAUCGUUAGGGGGUUUUCAGUUACAAUUGAAAAGAUGUCUAAUGUCCUAAAGAACUAUCAGAAGUGACAGAAAUGCAAAAGUGGAAAGAGAAAUGUGACCAGUCACCCAUAAGAGAAAGAAUGAGAUCAAUGGAUUCAAGGACAAGAUGAAGGGAUGUAUGACGCCAGGACAAAGACUGUGACUGCUCUGGCACAGCAGUAGCAAACUUUGACAGUGAUCCAGGAAGUUGAACAAUUACUUAAGGUGAAGCAUAUCACUGGUGCAGCUAUCAACGGAGCCAUCCACAUUUUUUCAACAACAAAAAAUAUGAAGCCAUUUCCAGUCAGUUCCCUCCUGUCCUGCAUUUGUGGCCCAGUCUUUCCUCUGUUUAAGUCAAUCAGGACGUAUUCAUUGACUUAAACUGGAGCAGAUGAAGUUCUUCAACUUGCACAGGCUAAGAAGCCGGAGAGCUGAAUGUUUUCUACGAGCCAAGAGUCACUGCGGCAGUGCAGAGUGUGACUGGGAACAGCUUUGUUAGCAGGCUGAAGGCAGACUUACAGCUUCAUUGAGGAUUCAGUUGCAUCCCAUUUACAGGAUGAAUAGGAUUCAGUUUCAUCCGAAAGGAGCCUGGGUCAUCCAGACCGCACAGCAGUGAGAACAAAAGCACAGAAAAUGGGAACCAUUGGGAGACUGGCCUCUAAAGCACCUACAACCCUGACUACAUCUGUGAUGGCGACAAGCUCCCAGUGGGUCACAAUAAAUACCCAGUGGCAAUGGAGACAAGUGGGUGGAGUAUAAGAGUGCCUGGAGUUAACAUAAUGAAACUGAAUCCUUUUCUUGAACAAGAAGUGAAAUAAACUUUAAAUCAAAGUCUCCAUUAAGGCCCCUUCUGCAAGAUGCUACUUUCAGUUUCUGAUAAUCAUUAUAAAUGGAGCAGAUUGGAAAAACUCAAAUGGAUCCAAUAUGAAAAGCCUCACUGCCUCCAGUCACUGCAGGGGGAGAGGAAUGCAGCCCCACUUACCUCCAAACUCAUUUUGGUCUUCCUACACCCCGACAGUAAAAUACAUGUGGAAAACCAGAAAUGCUGUGAGGUGAUGACAAUUACCUGAAGAUAUGAAGAUGAGCAGUGAACAGACCAGAGAAGAGAAGUCAGGUGUGGAUGGCCAGGCCACACCAUACUUCUGUACUCAUUAAGAAAAUAAAUAAACUCUUAGUUGGAUACAUUAAAAAAGAGUUGGUGGUUUCCAGCUGCAACUCACUUUAGUUCUUUAAAAUUAUCCUUGCGUUUCUGUUUAAGAAUUUACCUUGAGGAGGGAUGGGAAUCUGCUGCAUGCUACCAUCUGUCUUUCCUUAGAAAUACAGCACAAUAAAAGUGAGAUUGUCUUGUCUCUUUUAUAAGGUUAGUAAGAAAGCUUUGAUUGCUUCUUCUCUUAUUCACUAGAAAUUUAUAGUAAGAUGUUACAUUUUCCUUUUGUCUGUUUGCUGCAACAUCUGAGCUGUGUGUGAAAGACUGUGCCCUGUGGAUGAGAAGGUGCUUCACAGAGAGCAGCUUCAGUGAGCCAACUUAUUCACCAUGGUUCAAAAAUGGAAACUCCCCUCCAUUCUCAGAAUUUUGGUGCUUUUUGUUAUAUUCUGGGAUACUGUUGUGGUUAUAGCUUACUUCUGCCCCUUCUCCUGAAAUGCCCAAAUUUCUGUGAUGUGAGUUUUGUUCUACUUUUAGGAUGCCAAGUGGAAGAUUAUUCUAUUUCACUUUUGAGUCCUUUCCUGUUAUUACCUCAAACAUCGACAACAAAUUUUUCGGCCUUUCCCUUUUCUGAAGCAGUGGUGACAAAGUUCCUCUUUCUUUCCCCUUCUUCUUUUUCUUUUAAAACACAAAGAAACAAAACAUUCUCCAGAUGUUUUGUGAUCUAAUCCCUUAUUAACUUUGGAAAGAUCCUUUCUACCACAGGGAUCAGAUUCAUUAAUCUAUGGCUUCCUGACUCCUCUCCUACAGUAUUUCCAGGAAUGCAGAUACCUAUUUUGGCAUGGAAUCUGUAUUCCAUGAGCACAAACCUUCAAAUAUAUCUAUUUACCACACCUCUGACUGUAUCCGUUUCUCAAUCGGAUAAUUUAAUUUCCAGUCAAAGCAGGCACACAAAUUAGGCAGCCAUUUAAUCAGUGAUUAACCAAAUAAUCUCCUUUUACCAUAAAUUUGUAGUGUCUGGAGACCUUGUAGACUUCUUGGAAAAGGUGGCCUGUCU